RNAcentral lists this ribosomal RNA (645 nucleotides) under uncultured bacterium. RNAcentral describes it as "bacterial SSU rRNA". It matches the Rfam family "Bacterial small subunit ribosomal RNA", at positions 55 to 713 of the family's 1533-position model. The record is from RNAcentral.
CUGCAGUCGAACGGUGAACCGGAGCUUGCUCUGUGGGAUCAGUGGCGAACGGGUGAGUAACACGUGAGCAACCUGCCCCUGACUCUGGGAUAAGCGCUGGAAACGGCGUCUAAUACUGGAUAUGUGACGUGACCGCAUGGUCUGCGUCUGGAAAGAAUUUCGGUUGGGGAUGGGCUCGCGGCCUAUCAGCUUGUUGGUGAGGUAAUGGCUCACCAAGGCGUCGACGGGUAGCCGGCCUGAGAGGGUGACCGGCCACACUGGGACUGAGACACGGCCCAGACUCCUACGGGAGGCAGCAGUGGGGAAUAUUGCACAAUGGGCGCAAGCCUGAUGCAGCAACGCCGCGUGAGGGACGACGGCCUUCGGGUUGUAAACCUCUUUUAGCAGGGAAGAAGCGAAAGUGACGGUACCUGCAGAAAAAGCGCCGGCUAACUACGUGCCAGCAGCCGCGGUAAUACGUAGGGCGCAAGCGUUAUCCGGAAUUAUUGGGCGUAAAGAGCUCGUAGGCGGUUUGUCGCGUCUGCUGUGAAAUCCGGAGGCUCAACCUCCGGCCUGCAGUGAGUACGGGCAGACUAGAGUGCGGUAGGGGAGAUUGGAAUUCCUGGUGUAGCGGUGGAAUGCGCAGAUAUCAGGAGGAACACCGAU